CCGGGGACCGGGGGGAGACGGGAUCCCGAUUCCCUCCUGCGGGCACCUGAGGCAGCCGCGGCGGAAGGAUGCGAUGAGCGUUUUGCACACACACACGCGCGCACACACACGCACACAUCGUGUACACAAAAAAGAACCCCACCCAAAAAGCCCCGGGCUCCCAAGCUCGGGCGGGCGGUGAGAACAGAGGAAGCAGAGCGACUUCCUCCCGCCACGGGGGAGAGGGUGGUGAUGGGUGUCGAAGGGGUGCUGCUGCUGCCGCGGAGGGGGGGAAUUGCAAACAACGGGGUUCCGGGGCGAGUGCGCGCGGGGUCGGUCGCCACUGGGCGAGGGUGUCCCCUGGGACCCAGGAGCGCUCCGGAGGCAAGGAGAUGGAUGGGGCCGUGGGUUUGAAGGAAGAUGGUGUGUGCCGGUCCAGGGAUGGCGGACCUGGGGGUCAGACCCCACCGCUCACGGCUGGGGGUGCCUCUGAGCCGGCAGGGCUGGGGGAUGGGGAUUUGAAAGCGUGUCGACCCCUUGGGAGCCCUCCAUUGCACCCUCAGCCUCAUCUGGAUUGCCUAGCUCGGAUUGUCUGGCUCCGGAGGAAAGCGGACGGGUGCUAACGGGCACUUGUCCCUUCUGUUUUGAAGACACUCGUUGCCAAUUUCCUGGGCUAGAGAGCAAACCCUUAAAUAAGCCAUCAUACCGGUUAAUUAGUGUUUGUUUUGUUACUUCGGGUUUUUGUUGUAAAUUUUUUUUUUUUUUUUUUGGUCUCCUUUCCCUCUACCUUAAGCGUCUCAUCUGCUGUGUUUAAAUUUCAGCAUUUCAGUGUGGGCUCUUUUUGUUAAAACAACUUAUCAUUGGAAGGGAACUUCACAGCUUUUCCUUGUAAUUUUUCUGUUGAUCUUGUAGAAUCUGCGAUAAAGCCAACAUUAAAGGGAGGCCAGGGGCUUGAUCCCAACAGUGGAGAAAGUUGACAUUAGUGGGAGUUCUGGAGGAGGAUCAAAGGAAGUGACCGAAAGGCGACACGGAUAAGAAGUGAGCACGUGCUUUUGGAAAAAUGGUGCCCGUAGACUUGCUUGAUGCAGGUUUGCAAUAGAUCUUCCAUGUGUCAAAAAUGCAGCAUCAGCGAAGCACGAUGAAGCGAAGUGCAAGGAAAGGAAUCACGUCUCUGCUCCUAGGAUUUCACUACGGAGCCGUUCCCAUAGCACAUCGCGCUUUCCUCUGGCGAUCUCUCUCCAGAACUUGGAAAACCCUCCAAACUGAACAAAUAUACAGCAUACAUACAGUAUUUCCUGUUCAGGUGUUUUUUGCUUUUUUUUUUUUUUUUUAACACAGUUUCGCCCUUGUUGGCUUGUGCUAACGUCAUUCAGUUUUUGCUCACUGUUUGAAAAAUUCGGAAGGCCUGGGCUAUACAGAGCGUGUAGUCGUGGGUUCAAACUUUCAUUCAGUUAUUAGUGCUUCCGUGACUCUAUUAACGGUGAAGCAGACAGAGAAAGAGACUGUUUUAGUUGCUGCAUUUUCCUGUAAGUUUGACGUUUAUAUGAAGGUCAGUUUUAACCUGGGGAAAGGGAUAAUAACAGAAUUAACCACUGGCAGAGAUUUCCCAGGAGGGACUUGGGGAGCAGUAUUAUAACCUGAGAGUGUCUGUGAUUAAGGGAGAAGUGUUUACAUACACGUUUAAAAUGCAGAGUUUUAACGCUGUUUCUGUUACAUUUGGGGCUAUAGCUAUUUGUGCUAGCAGGAGUGGGGGCGGGGGGGGGGGGUGGUGGAAACAGGCAUUUGUUAAACAUGUUGUAUUCUGGCUGCCCUUAAGAGGAGUCCCUGUGUCAGCCUGGGAAAGGCACCUGGUAGGUGUUUAAAUACUGUUGGCCUACUGCUGGGGAACUGACCCUCAAUUCCUUGUGCGGAGAAGGAUCUGGAAAGAGUUGCUAGAUAUUACGAGGUGUAGCCGCUUGAGGCAGGAUAUUUCCCUGGCCGGCACCAGCUAGAUUUCAUAUAUAAUAACUCUAGUAGAGGAAAACUCUCCAAAAGCUGAGAAUUACUGAAGAGCGUCCGCAGCUGUUGACUCCCCCUACCCACCGCACGCAGCCACCUUGGCUCGGAAUGUGUGUUAGGUUCGCAUUUAGGGAAGGCCUGGAAACGAAUCAGCCUUCCUGCUCUCUCUUCCCAGGGGAAUCUGUGGAACGUACUUAAUAUAGGACCAAACAACUUAACACAGUGGAAUAAAGCCGGUUGCGUUAGUUUUUUUGUUUGUUUUUUAAGUUUUAUUUAUUUUGAGACCAAGAGUGCAAGCGGGAGGGGGGAGGUUGGGGAGAGAGAGAGAGAGAGAGAGAGAGAGGGAGGGAGAGAUAGAUUCCCAAGUAGGCUCCUUACUGUCAGUGCUGGGCUGAGACAAACAUGUGAAACAGAUCCCUGGAUUGAUUCCUUUCCUGUUCUAAUCAUUGUUAAGCCUUCUUUUUUAAAAACUGUUUAUUGCUUUGUGACACAGUAAAUUCAUAUUUGUUGUAGAAAAGUUAGAAAAGCAGACGAGAGUAAUCCUCUCAUUACUCAGAGGAACUGUUAAAAUUCUAGCAUAUGCAUGUCAAAAGUCUUCCGUAUAUACGAAAGCAUGUAUAUACGAAAACAUGAAAAAAUAUCAUACAAACUUUAAAAUAAUUUUUUUUUGCUUAUUA
Lynx canadensis (Canada lynx) is the source of this 2654-nucleotide long non-coding RNA. RefSeq lists it as uncharacterized. The transcript has 2 exons. The record is from RefSeq and is a predicted model, not a curated record. Lineage: Eukaryota; Metazoa; Chordata; Mammalia; Carnivora; Felidae.